UGUUAAAAAAUUCAUCUAUUUGUAUCGUUAAAAAUUGACUAGACUAAUGAACACGUAUACCUCAUACUGACAUACAGGGACAAUUUUUUAACAGUAAAAAUUGAUAGAAAUUUUAAUA
Molecule: non-coding RNA, 118 nt
Organism: Gossypium raimondii (Peruvian cotton)
Lineage: Eukaryota; Viridiplantae; Streptophyta; Magnoliopsida; Malvales; Malvaceae
Source: Rfam